RNAcentral lists this ribosomal RNA (301 nucleotides) under uncultured bacterium. RNAcentral's name for it is "partial 16S ribosomal RNA". It matches the Rfam family "Bacterial small subunit ribosomal RNA", at positions 509 to 807 of the family's 1533-position model. The record is from RNAcentral.
CAGCCGCCGCGGUAAUACGGAGGGCGCGAGCGUUACCCGGAUUUACUGGGCGUAAAGGGCGUGUAGGCGGCCUGGGGCGUCCCAUGUGAAAGGCCACGGCUCAACCGUGGAGGAGCGUGGGAUACGCUCAGGCUAGAGGGUGGGAGAGGGUGGUGGAAUUCCCGGAGUAGCGGUGAAAUGCGCAGAUACCGGGAGGAACGCCGAUGGCGAAGGCAGCCACCUGGUCCACUUCUGACGCUGAGGCGCGAAAGCGUGGGGAGCAAACCGGAUUAGAUACCCGCGUAGUCCCUGUCUCUUAUAC